AAUGUURUGGGUGGGUCGGAAUCCCCUUUUCUUGCCGGCAGAGCUGUUCUGCGGGUCUGGGCAGGUGGCAGCGCCCGGCAGGGCAGGGCGGCGAAUGCCAGGGGGCCAGCGGAGCCCGGGGCCGGCAGCAGCUUGUGACCGUUUCCMCCUCUUUCCCCCGCAGCGUUUCCUCAGGGAGCUCAAAAACUCCACCGACUGCUGGUUGGGGCUGCGCAGGCAGGACGGGCGCCUGGUGUUCCCGGUUCACGGCCAAGGAGCCUGCGCCUACAUGAAUGACGUCAUCGCCAGUUCCAGCUGCUCCCAGCUCAGGCCUUAUAUCUGCAGCGUGGCGCUGGCUCCGCUCUGACCGCGGUGGGAACGCCGCCUUCGGAGCAGGCAGGCUGCCCCGGCACAACUGCCCUCCGCUACCUCCCUUCAUGUGCCUGCUGUGCUGGAGCCGGAGCAGCCCUUAGGGAUCAGCACGGAAAGCCCAUGAGGACAACGAGUAGCUUUGCACCCGUGGACGUGGGUGUCAUGGACAUUUUUGGAUGCUGUAACACCGAGGGGCCCUGUAAAACAGGGAGGUCUCCGGUUGGCGAAACACUGACACGUUGGAAGCCUUAAUGUUUUUCUGCUUGUGCUGCUUGGACUGAAACCUUUUGUUCUCACUCGCUCAGGGCAGGUGCUCUGUAAGGUGCCGCUCGGCCUCGGUGCUCUGUUCCCGUCUUCCACAACUCAAUCACUACAUGGAGGAAGCACCGUGCGGGCGUCCCCUUCUUGCCGCCUGGGAAUCGUGGCCGUGGCGACACCGAAAUGGGACCCGGGGCCUCCUUUUGUGACAGUAUUAUUUUUUCUGGAGCUGCUGGAGUGAACGGCGCUGUGGCUGCUCACGGCAUUGGGAACCGAGGCGAGCGCGCUCCGGUCUUCUGGUGCUUCCGUGGCCUCCUGCAGCCGCCAGCCGACCGCGGGGAGCAGGAGAGCACGGGUGCCGUUCUAUGCUAUACACUAAAUGUAGCUUCAUAUUCCAUAUUUAUAAAUUCAUAAAUAAACAGUUAAUAUUUUUCCUGGCGUUUUGUUUG
Molecule: long non-coding RNA, 1058 nt
Filed under: Apteryx owenii (little spotted kiwi)
Lineage: Eukaryota; Metazoa; Chordata; Aves; Apterygiformes; Apterygidae
Description: lncRNA (ENSAOWG00000016883.1)
Source: RNAcentral